This 337-nucleotide ribosomal RNA is filed under the name uncultured bacterium. Its description in RNAcentral is "bacterial SSU rRNA". It matches the Rfam family "Bacterial small subunit ribosomal RNA", at positions 28 to 356 of the family's 1533-position model. The record is from RNAcentral.
GACGAACGCUGGCGGCGUGCUUAACACAUGCAAGUCGAACGGAUCACGAGGCUUCGGUUUUGUGGUGAGUGGCGAACGGGUGAGUAACACGUGAGUAACCUGCCCAUAAGAGGGGGAUAACAUCCGGAAACGGGUGCUAAUACCGCAUAGGUUUCUUGGUCGCAUGAUCGAGAAAGGAAAGACGGCCUUUGUGCUGUCGCUUAUGGAUGGACCCGNGGCGUAUUAGUUAGUUGGUGAGGUAAUGGCUCACCAAGACGAUGAUACGUAGCCGACCUGAGAGGGUGAUCGGCCACAUUGGGACUGAGACACGGCCCAAACUCCUACGGGAGCAGCAGUA